CAGGCAUUCAAAAUAUAUCGUAUUAGAAUUAUUAAUUGGUAGUGAUUUGAAUUAUUUUUUUCGAGAAAAAAUACCAAGUCCUGUGAGUUAGUCUCUAAUUUAUACCUAUGUGACAAGAAAAAUGGAAAUGAACUAUUUAUUUAUUCACGUCCGGGAUUAUAAUCAUCAGGAGCUUUCUACCACGUUAACUAUGUAUGAUCAGCCUUACAACAAUAGUUAUAUAACUAAUAAAUGAUGUGAUGAUUUUAAUUUGAAUGGCUUUCGGUGUUCUUCUCUGAGAAGUGAUGUCUUUUGGAUAUAUGCCAUAUACCGGUUGUGUUAAUCGGAAGGUAAUAUCAAUGAUCAAUGAUUGAAGCGAUUCCAAAGAAGAAGUCGUCGUCGGCCCAUAUGCGGACUCACUUUAUUUUGGGAACUUGGAAAAACCCAAUAACCAACGAAAAGGUUAUAGCUAAUAUCUAUUAUU
Vespa mandarinia (Asian giant hornet) is the source of this 463-nucleotide long non-coding RNA. The record is from RefSeq and is a predicted model, not a curated record. NCBI's taxonomy places the organism in Eukaryota, Metazoa, Arthropoda, Insecta, Hymenoptera, Vespidae.